CCAAGGAGUGCAACAUGCGUGCGAGUCUUGGGGUGGAAAACCUGUUGGCGCAAUGAAAGUGAAGGUAGGCAUUGGUCUACCGAGGCAAGAGCCACCUUGGGGUGGCACAUUGUCGACCGAUCCCAGGCUACGCUGUAGUGGGAUUUGAGUGAGAGCGUGCCUGUUGCGACCCGAAAGAUGGUGAACUAUGCCUGAAUAGGGCGAAGCCAGAGGAAACUCUGGUGGAAGCUCGUAGCGAUUCUGACGUGCAAAUCGAUCGUCAAAUUUGGGUAUAGGGGCGAAAGACUAAUCGAACCAUCUAG
Molecule: ribosomal RNA, 302 nt
Filed under: Stylissa carteri
Lineage: Eukaryota; Metazoa; Porifera; Demospongiae; Axinellida; Axinellidae
Description: LSU rRNA
Rfam family: Eukaryotic large subunit ribosomal RNA
Source: RNAcentral